GGGGGUGUACUGGCUUCGACGUGGGUUGUGAAGCAAAAGGAGCAUACCGGGGCGCAUGAGGACCCUGUUAAAAACGUGCACUUUUGUAGUUUCAAACGAUAACUACGCAUUAGCAGCUUAGUUCUGCUACGGAACUUAGGUGAAUCGCCGAUGUUGAUUUAAGUUCCGUCAUUAAUGUCGGAUCGGUCUGUAUGAGUUUCUCGAGCGUACAGACUUAAGAGUUACUCGGGGAGUGUCGUCGGGAAUUUUGUUCGUAGAGGUCCCGCCGGCAAACUAAAAUACGAACUAAGUAUGUAGUCGCCUUUCUGUGAAUCACUUGCGGACCCGGGUUCAACUCCCGGCACCUCCACCA
RNAcentral lists this transfer-messenger RNA (352 nucleotides) under Bacteroidia bacterium. It matches the Rfam family "transfer-messenger RNA". Rfam says of the family: Bacterial tmRNA, also known as 10Sa RNA or SsrA, is named for its dual tRNA and mRNA-like properties. Its role is to liberate the mRNA from a stalled ribosome. To accomplish this part of the tmRNA is used as a reading frame that ends in a translation stop signal. The record is from RNAcentral. Lineage: Bacteria; Pseudomonadati; Bacteroidota; Bacteroidia.